AUACGGAGGGGGCGAGCGUUAUUCGGAAUCAUUGGGCGUAAAGGGCGCGUAGGCGGCCUGACAAGUCAGGGGUGAAAUCCCUCGGCUAAACCGAGGAACUGCCUCUGAAACUGUCAGGCUUGAGGCCGGGAGAGGGUAGUGGAAUUCCCAGUGUAGCGGUGAAAUGCGUAGAUAUUGGGAGGAACACCAGUGGCGAAGGCGGCUACCUGGACCGGUUCUGACGCUGAGGCGCGAAAGUGUGGGGAGCAAACAGGAUUAGAUACCCCAGUAGUCC
RNAcentral lists this ribosomal RNA (274 nucleotides) under uncultured bacterium. RNAcentral describes it as "partial 16S ribosomal RNA". It matches the Rfam family "Bacterial small subunit ribosomal RNA", at positions 523 to 796 of the family's 1533-position model. The record is from RNAcentral.